Molecule: ribosomal RNA, 919 nt
Filed under: Betta chloropharynx
Lineage: Eukaryota; Metazoa; Chordata; Actinopteri; Anabantiformes; Osphronemidae
Description: partial 16S ribosomal RNA
Rfam family: Bacterial large subunit ribosomal RNA (bases 143-658)
Source: RNAcentral
UUAUUAAUACCCCCAAAAGUAUUCAAUAUUUUAUUAAACAAAUCAUUUUUCCCCCUAAGUAUGGGCGACAGAAAAGAAACAUUCAGAGCCAUAGAAAAAGUACCGCAAGGGAAUGCUGAAAAAGAAGUGAAACAACUCAGUAAAGUUUAAACAAGCAGAGAUUUACACUCGUACCUUUUGCAUCAUGAUUUAGUCAGUAAAAACAAGCAAAAGGCACUUUAGUUUGUCUCCCCGAAACUAAGUGAGCUACUCCAAGACAGCCUAAAAUAGGGCUAACCCGUCUCUGUGGCAAAAGAGUGGGAUGAGCUUAGAGUAGAGGUGACAAACCUACCGAACUUAGUUAUAGCUGGUUGCCUGAGAAAUGAAUAGAAGUUCAGCUUUUUGGUUUCUUCCCCCAAUCUGCUUGACUAUAACCGAACCAAGAAACCAAAAAAGUUAAUUAAAGGGGGUACAGCUCCUUUAAACAAGAUACAACUUCACCAGCCGGGUAAAGAUCACACACAAUCAAGGUAAAAUGUUUUAGUGGGCCUAGAAGCAGCCACCUAUAAGAAAGCGUUAAAGCUCCUUCAUACCCCUACCCCCAAAUUCAGAUAAUACACCCUAAACCCCCUAAUUUUAUCAAGCCGCUCCAUGCUGCCAUGGAAGUGAUUAUGCUAAAAUGAGUAAUAAGAAAAGUCACCUUUUCUCCUUGCACUCGUGUAAAUCGAAACGGACCCCCCAUCGAACAUUAAUCGGCCCCAAAAAAGAGGGCAAUGAAUUAUCAAUCCUAGUGACAAGAAAAGCACUCAAAUAUCAACCGUUAAUCUCACACCAAUAUGCUUACAAGGAAAGACUAAAAGAAAAAGAAGGAACUCGGCAAAUACAAGCCUCGCCUGUUUACCAAAAACAUCGCCUCUUGAAAACUAUACAUAAGAGGUCC